Vicia faba (fava bean) is the source of this 225-nucleotide non-coding RNA. NCBI's taxonomy places the organism in Eukaryota, Viridiplantae, Streptophyta, Magnoliopsida, Fabales, Fabaceae. The record is from the annotation of a GenBank genome assembly.
AUGUUUAUGAAAAUAAUUUCAGCCCAAAUUGUUUCUACUCAAAGCCCUAAUUCUCACACUAUAUAUACAUUCAUUACACUGACAAAGAGGAGGACUGUUUAUUCAGACACUGAAAAUUAUACAAAACUCAGAGUACAUAGAAAAAAGAAACCUCACCUGACUCUCGCCGUAAUUUUUCGCUGGAAACUGACCGAAAAAUCCAGAACCGCCGUGCCUGACCCCUAG